RNAcentral lists this ribosomal RNA (1060 nucleotides) under cyanobacterium symbiont of Xestospongia exigua. Its description in RNAcentral is "bacterial SSU rRNA". It matches the Rfam family "Bacterial small subunit ribosomal RNA", at positions 188 to 1267 of the family's 1533-position model. Lineage: Bacteria; Bacillati; Cyanobacteriota; Cyanophyceae; Chroococcales. The record is from RNAcentral.
AUAUGCCGAGAGGUGAAACGAAUUUCGCCUGGGGAUGAGCUCGCGUCUGAUUAGCUUGUUGGUGGGGUAACAGCCUACCAAGGCUUCGAUCAGUAGCUGGUCUGAGAGGACGAUCAGCCACACUGGGACUGAGACACGGCCCAGACUCCUACGGGAGGCAGCAGUGGGGAAUUUUCCGCAAUGGGCGCAAGCCUGACGGAGCAACGCCGCGUGAGGGAUGAAGGCCUUUGGGCUGUAAACCUCUUUUCUCAAGGAAGAAGAUCUGACGGUACUUGAGGAAUAAGCCACGGCUAAUUCCGUGCCAGCAGCCGCGGUAAUACGGGAGUGGCAAGCGUUAUCCGGAAUUAUUGGGCGUAAAGCGUCCGCAGGCGGCCGUUUAAGUCUGUUGUUAAAUCGUGGAGCUCAACUCCAUCACGGCAAUGGAAACUGUUCGGCUUGAGUAUGGUAGGGGCAGAGGGAAUUUCCGGUGUAGCGGUGAAAUGCGUAGAUAUCGGGAAGAACACCAGUGGCAAAAGCGCUCUGCUGGGCCAUUACUGACGCUCAUGGACGAAAGCCAGGGGAGCGAAAGGGAUUAGAUACCCCUGUAGUCCUGGCCGUAAACGAUGAACACUAGAUGUUGGGGGAAUCGACCCCUCCGGUGUCGUAGCUAACGCGUUAAGUGUUCCGCCUGGGGAGUACGCACGCAAGUGUGAAACUCAAAGGAAUUGACGGGGGCCCGCACAAGCGGUGGAGUAUGUGGUUUAAUUCGAUGCAACGCGAAGAACCUUACCAAGGCUUGACAUCCUGCGAAUCUCCAAGAAAUUGGAGAGUGCCUUCGGGAACGCAGUGACAGGUGGUGCAUGGCUGUCGUCAGCUCGUGUCGUGAGAUGUUGGGUUAAGUCCCGCAACGAGCGCAACCCACGCUUUUAGUUGCCAGCAUUCAGUUGGGCACUCUAGAAAGACUGCCGGUGACAAACCGGAGGAAGGUGUGGACGACGUCAAGUCAUCAUGCCCCUUACGUCUUGGGCUACACACGUACUACAAUGCUGCGGACAAAGAGUAGCGAUCUUGCAAAAGUUAG